Molecule: ribosomal RNA, 276 nt
Filed under: uncultured Sphingobacteriales bacterium
Lineage: Bacteria; Pseudomonadati; Bacteroidota; Sphingobacteriia; Sphingobacteriales
Description: partial 16S ribosomal RNA
Rfam family: Bacterial small subunit ribosomal RNA
Source: RNAcentral
GGAGGGUGCGAGCGUUGUCGGAUUUAUUGGGUUUAAAGGGUGCGUAAGCGGCCGUUUAAGUCUGGGGUGAAAGCCCGCUGCUCAACAGCGGAACUGCCCUGGAUACUGGAUGGCUUGAGGUACAGACGAGGUUGGCGGAAUGGACUGAGUAGCGGUGAAAUGCAUAGAUACAGUCCAGAACCCCGAUUGCGAAGGCAGCUGACUAGGCUGUUACUGACGCUGAGGCACGAAAGCGUGGGGAGCGAACAGGAUUAGAUACCCUGGUAGUCAAGGGCG